Molecule: ribosomal RNA, 496 nt
Filed under: uncultured bacterium
Lineage: Bacteria
Description: partial 16S ribosomal RNA
Rfam family: Bacterial small subunit ribosomal RNA
Source: RNAcentral
GAUGAACGCUGGCGGCGUGCCUAAUACAUGCAAGUCGAGCGAACGGACGAGAAGCUUGCUUCUCUGAUGUUAGCGGCGGACGGGUGAGUAACACGUGGAUAACCUACCGAUAAGACUGGGAUAACUUCGGGAAACCGGAGCUAAUACCGGAUAAUAUUUUGAACCGCAUGGUUCAAAAGUGAAAGACGGUCUUGCUGUCACUUAUAGAUGGAUCCGCGCUGCAUAGCUAGUUGGUAAGGUAACGGCUUACCAAGGCAACGAUGCAUAGCCGACCUGAGAGGGUGAUCGGCCACACUGGAACUGAGACACGGUCCAGACUCCUACGGGAGGCAGCAGUAGGGAAUCUUCCGCAAUGGGCGAAAGCCUGACGGAGCAACGCCGCGUGAGUGAUGAAGGUCUUCGGAUCGUAAAACUCUGUUAUUAGGGAAGAACAUAUGUGUAAGUAACUGUGCACAUCUUGACGGUACCUAAUCAGAAAGCCACGGCUAACUACGUG